Molecule: long non-coding RNA, 1276 nt
Filed under: Nicotiana benthamiana
Lineage: Eukaryota; Viridiplantae; Streptophyta; Magnoliopsida; Solanales; Solanaceae
Description: long non-coding RNA (NBEN_LNC034762)
Source: RNAcentral
GCAGAAAAUACUAUCCCGACAUUGGUAUAGUAUGGAAGUUGUCAAAGUUCUUCACAUGAAUGGAGGAAUUGGAGAAGCUAGCUAUGCCAAAAAUUCUUUGAUUACGGUAUAAUAUAAUUACACAAAUUCUUAUUUCCGCGUAGAUGUUAUAAACUCUAAAUUAUAAUUUCUUUAUUCCAUAUCACAGCCACACAAUUACUAGUACUUGUUUAAACAGUAGGUUUCAAAACUUUUUUUAACCAAACAAAUAUUAUAUUAUAUUUAAGACCUAUUGAUUUAUAAAGUUUAUAGCAACACAAAUAAAAAUUUAAUAUUCUUACUCUCUAUUAAAUUUUGCGUCAAAUCAAACUACGACAAACAAAUUGAAACCAAAAUAUUUUUCGAAAUUUAUUAUCCUUCGUACCAAACACAUCCGUAGUUAGAGGCGGACACAUAUGUUAAGUUAAGGGGUCACCAGCAUCGGAAACUUUGACAAAAACUCCAUACAUACAAAUGUUUUCAAAGAAUUGUCAGAUAUUAUGAUAGACCCUUAUACCAAUUAUUAUGAGCAGUUAUAAAUUUGUAUUAAAUAUCAUGAUGUCCUAGCAAUCACGGAAUCUUAGGCUAGCCUCUGCCCGUAGGGUACAACAUUUACUCAUUUGGCUCGUGAGGACGAUGAUGGAAAUUCACACGAUAAAUUUGGUUUCACCCAUCUAUAAAUAUCCUAUUGGGAUUUUUAUAUAUACAUACCAUAUAGCAAAUCUUAUUACCACCCAUGUUUAAGAUUUGUGUUUAUUACAUUUAAGUAUACCACCUUUCAAUUUAUGUACCACAAUUAUAUUUAAGGUUUAAAUAUCAACUUAUUAAUUAUAGCCUUGAUUUGUGGAACUGAAAAUCUUUUCAGAUUUUAUUCUACACGUUUUUCUCUCUCUAUUUGAUGUGGAAGAAUGACUGAUUUUCGAAACUAAAAUUUGGAGAAAUUCACGCUGGUUAAGAGAAUUUACCGUUUUUUACAAACAAACCCCAUGAUUUUCUCCCCUUUUUUAGUUAUCCUCCCCCACGUUUGUUUACCAAAACAGAUUUCUCUCUCUCUCUCCUCUAAUUUCAUCUGCCAUUGUCUAAGGUUGCACUGUUUCAUAUCAAGAAUUUCAUCCGCUAUAUUUUUAGUCCUACUGUUGUAACAAAUUCCGAAACCCUCUAUAAAAUCAUUUUCUCUCUAUCUUGGCAUAUGCUGUUGUUGAUUCUGAAAAGAAGAAGUAGACUAUACUGUUCAUAUUUGGUAGUUGGAUUGUAAAAC